CAUAAGCGGAGGAAAAGAAACCAACAGGGAUUGCCUUAGUAGCGGCGAGUGAAGCGGCAAAAGCUCAAAUUUGAAAUCUGGCUCUUUCAGAGUCCGAGUUGUAAUUUGAAGAAGGUAUCUUUGGGUCUGGCUCUUGUCUAUGUUUCUUGGAACAGAACGUCACAGAGGGUGAGAAUCCCGUGCGAUGAGAUGAUCCAGGCCUAUGUAAAGUUCCUUCGAAGAGUCGAGUUGUUUGGGAAUGCAGCUCUAAGUGGGUGGUAAAUUCCAUCUAAAGCUAAAUAUUGGCGAGAGACCGAUAGCGAACAAGUACAGUGAUGGAAAGAUGAAAAGAACUUUGAAAAGAGAGUGAAAAAGUACGUGAAAUUGUUGAAAGGGAAGGGCUUGAGAUCAGACUUGGUAUUUUGUAUGUUACUUCUUCGGGGGUGGCCUCUACAGUUUAUCGGGCCAGCAUCAGUUUGGGCGGUAGGAGAAUUGCGUUGGAAUGUGGCACGGCUUCGGUUGUGUGUUAUAGCCUUCGUCGAUACUGCCAGCCUAGACUGAGGACUGCGGUUUAUACCGAGGAUGUUGGCAUAAUCUAAGAGACCC
Molecule: ribosomal RNA, 585 nt
Filed under: Candida tropicalis
Lineage: Eukaryota; Fungi; Ascomycota; Pichiomycetes; Serinales; Debaryomycetaceae
Description: eukaryotic LSU rRNA
Rfam family: Eukaryotic large subunit ribosomal RNA
Source: RNAcentral